CCGCGGUAUCCUAACCGUGCGAAGGUAGCGUAAUCACUUGUUCUUUAAAUGAGGACUAGUAUGAAUGGCAUUACGAGGGUUAUACUGUCUCCUUUUCCUAAUCAGUGAAACUAAUCUCCCCGUGAAGAAGCGAGGAUGAACAUAUAAGACGAGAAGACCCUAUGGAGCUUUAAACUUCCAGCAAUUAUCUUUUUUAUACCAACCUCAAGGCAAUCAAAUUAACUUUAAUACUAUGUCUGUUAGUUUUCGGUUGGGGUGACCGCGGAGUAAAACUCACCCUCCGCGAUGAAUACUAAACAUCUAAGCAACAAACUACAAUUUUACGCAUCAAAAAAUUGACACUAUUGACCCAACAUUUUGAUCAACGAACCAAGUUACCCUAGGGAUAACAGCGCAAUCCAUCUCAAGAGCUCAUAUCGACAGGUGGGUUUACGACCUCGAUGUUGGAUCAGGAUAUCCCAGUGGUGCAGCCGCUACUAAAGGUUCGUUUGUUCAACGAUUAAAAUCCUACGUGAUCUGAGUUCAGACCGGA
Molecule: ribosomal RNA, 532 nt
Filed under: Pithecopus cf. hypochondrialis UEMAGI33
Lineage: Eukaryota; Metazoa; Chordata; Amphibia; Anura; Hylidae
Description: partial large subunit ribosomal RNA
Rfam family: Bacterial large subunit ribosomal RNA
Source: RNAcentral